Molecule: ribosomal RNA, 165 nt
Filed under: Apios priceana
Lineage: Eukaryota; Viridiplantae; Streptophyta; Magnoliopsida; Fabales; Fabaceae
Description: 5.8S ribosomal RNA
Rfam family: 5.8S ribosomal RNA
About the family: 5.8S ribosomal RNA (5.8S rRNA) is a component of the large subunit of the eukaryotic ribosome. It is transcribed by RNA polymerase I as part of the 45S precursor that also contains 18S and 28S rRNA.
Source: RNAcentral
AUACAACGACUCUCGGCAACGGAUAUCUCGGCUCUUGCAUCGAUGAAGAACGUAGCGAAAUGCGAUACUUGGUGUGAAUUGCAGAAUCCCGUGAACCAUCGAGUCUUUGAACGCAAGUUGCGCCCGAAGCCAUUAGGCCGAGGGCACGCCUGCCUGGGUGUCACA